RNAcentral lists this ribosomal RNA (484 nucleotides) under uncultured bacterium. Its description in RNAcentral is "partial 16S ribosomal RNA". It matches the Rfam family "Bacterial small subunit ribosomal RNA", at positions 28 to 507 of the family's 1533-position model. The record is from RNAcentral.
AUUGAACGCUGGCGGCAUGCUUUACACAUGCAAGUCGAACGGCAGCGCGGGCUUCGGCCUGGCGGCGAGUGGCGAACGGGUGAGUAAUGCAUCGGAACGUGCCCAGUAGUGGGGGAUAGCCCGGCGAAAGCCGGAUUAAUACCGCAUACGACCUGAGGGUGAAAGCGGGGGACCGAAAGGCCUCGCGCUAUUGGAUCGGCCGGUGUCGGAUUAGCUAGUUGGUGGGGUAAAGGCUUACCAAGGCGACGGUCCGUAGCUGGUCUGAGAGGACGACCAGCCACACUGGGACUGAGACACGGCCCAGACUCCUACGGGAGGCAGCAGUGGGGAAUUUUGGACAAUGGGGGCAACCCUGAUCCAGCCAUGCCGCGUGCGGGAAGAAGGCCUUCGGGUUGUAAACCGCUUUUGUUCGGGAAGAAAUCCUCUGGGCUAAUACCCCGGGGGGAUGACGGUACCGGAAGAAUAAGCACCGGCUAACUACGUG